This 468-nucleotide ribosomal RNA is filed under the name uncultured bacterium. Its description in RNAcentral is "partial 16S ribosomal RNA". It matches the Rfam family "Bacterial small subunit ribosomal RNA", at positions 28 to 507 of the family's 1533-position model. The record is from RNAcentral.
GACGAACGCUGGCGGCGUGCUUAACACAUGCAAGUCGAACGGACAGACCCUGCUUUUGUUGGGUUCACGAUUGACGAACAGGUGAGUAACACGUGAGUAACAUCCACUUGACUUUGGGAUAACUUCACGAAACUGGGGCUAAUACCGGAUAUGAUCUCCUGCUGCAUGUUGGUGGUUGGUAAGUUUCGGCGGUUGUGGAUGGACUCGCGGCUUAUCAGCUGGUUGGUGGGGUAGUUGCUUACCAAGCCUUUGACGGGUAGCCGGCCUGGGAGGGUUACCGGCCACCUUGGGACAGAGAUACGGCCCAGACUCCUACGGGCGGCAGCAGUGGGGAAUAUUGCACAGUGGGCGGAAGCCUGAUGCAGCAACGUCGCGUGCGGGAUGACGGCCUUCGAGUUGUAAACCGCUUUCGCCUGUGACGAAGCGUGCGUGACGGUAAUGGGUAAAGAAGCACCGGCUAACUACGUG